CCUACGGGAGGCAGCAGUGAGGAAUAUUGGUCAAUGGACGAGAGUCUGAACCAGCUAAGUAGCGUGAAGGAUGACUGCCCUAUGGGUUGUAAACUUCUUUUAUAUGGGAAUAAAAUGUUCCACGUGUGGGAUUUUGUAUGUACCAUAUGAAUAAGGAUCGGCUAACUCCGUGCCAGCAGCCGCGGUAAUACGGAGGUUCCGAGCGUUAUCCGGAUUUAUUGGGUUUAAAGGGUGCGUAGGUGGAUUGUUAAGUCAGUUGUGAAAGUUUGCGGCUCAACCGUAAAAUUGCAGUUGAAACUGGCAGUCUUGAGUACAGUAGAGGUGGGCGGAAUUCGUGGUGUAGCGGUGAAAUGCUUAGAUAUCACGAAGAACUCCGAUUGCGAAGGCAGUUCACUGGACUGCAACUGACACUGAGGCUCGAAAGUGUGGGUAUCAAACAGGAUUAGAUACCCUAGUAGUC
This 460-nucleotide ribosomal RNA is filed under the name uncultured bacterium. RNAcentral's name for it is "partial 16S ribosomal RNA". It matches the Rfam family "Bacterial small subunit ribosomal RNA", at positions 338 to 795 of the family's 1533-position model. The record is from RNAcentral.